Molecule: ribosomal RNA, 484 nt
Filed under: uncultured bacterium
Lineage: Bacteria
Description: partial 16S ribosomal RNA
Rfam family: Bacterial small subunit ribosomal RNA
Source: RNAcentral
AUUGAACGCUGGCGGCAGGCCUAACACAUGCAAGUCGAGCGGAUGAAGGGAGCUUGCUCCUGGAUUCAGGGGCGGACGGGUGAGUAAUGCCGAGGAAUCUGGCUGGUAGUGGGGGAUAAGGUCCGGAAACGGGGGCUAAUACGGCAAACGUCCUGAGGGAGAAAGGGGGGGAUCUUCGGACCUCACGCUAUCAGAUGAGCCUAGGUCGGAUUAGCGAGUUGGUGGGGUAAAGGCCUACCAAGGCGACGAUCCGUAACUGGUCUGAGAGGAUGAGCAGUCACACUGGAACUGAGACACGGUCCAGACUCCUACGGGAGGCAGCAGUGGGGAAUAUUGGACAAUGGGCGAAAGCCUGAUCCAGCCAUGCCGCGUGUGUGAAGAAGGUCUUCGGAUUGUAAAGCACUUUAAGUUGGGAGGAAGGGCAGUAAGUUAAUACCUUGCUGUUUUGACGUUACCAACAGAAUAAGCACCGGCUAACUUCGUG